UGGGGAAUAUUGCACAAUGGGCGCAAGCCUGAUGCAGCCAUGCCGCGUGUGUGAAGAAGGCCUUCGGGUUGUAAAGCACUUUCAGCGAGGAGGAAGGUGGUGAGCUUAAUACGCUCAUCAAUUGACGUUACUCGCAGAAGAAGCACCGGCUAACUCCGUGCCAGCAGCCGCGGUAAUACGGAGGGUGCAAGCGUUAAUCGGAAUUACUGGGCGUAAAGCGCACGCAGGCGGUUUGUUAAGUCAGAUGUGAAAUCCCCGGGCUCAACCUGGGAACUGCAUUUGAAAACUGGCAAGCUAGAGUCUCGUAGAGGGGGGUAGAAUUCCAGGUGUAGCGGUGAAAAUGCGUAGAGAUCUGGAGGAAAUACCGGUGGCGAAGGCGGCCCCCUGGACGAAGACUGACGCUCAGGUGCGAAAAGCGUGGGGAGCAAAACAGGAUUAGAUACCCUGGUAGUCCACGCUGUAAAACGAUGUCGAUUUGGAGGUUGUGCCCUUGAGGCGUGGCUUCCGGAGCUAACGCGUUAAAUCGACCGCCUGGGGAGUACGGCCGCAAGGUUAAAAACUCAAAAUG
This 568-nucleotide ribosomal RNA is filed under the name uncultured bacterium. RNAcentral describes it as "partial 16S ribosomal RNA". It matches the Rfam family "Bacterial small subunit ribosomal RNA", at positions 355 to 908 of the family's 1533-position model. The record is from RNAcentral.